UUCAAAUGUGAAUUUUUUGAGGGAUUUUGUUUAUUUGAAAAGUAAGACAUUUUGCAUUAAUUUAAAGCAUCAUUUUCAUUCAAAUUUGUCCAUUCAUUCAUACAAAACCGUUUACAAACACAUACAAAGAAAAUUAUAAAAAAAAUGCUUCUUUGAACAAAGGUUGACUUUGGCUAACAAUUGACUUUUUGGUCAACUUUGACCAAAGUCAACCAUUUAAGACUUAAGACCUAACUCUAACUUCUUCAUCCAUCAUCCUCAUGAUCAUGUGCUUUUAAGCUUCAUGCCAAUUUUCUUCCAUGCCAUGCCACUUUCUCUUUGCACAUGAAUACCUUAAAAGGGCAAAACAAAGCCAUAAGUAUUGUCUUCAAGUUUAAAACAUGACUUUCCAAGGCAACCAUGACAUGUCAUUCAAUGGCAAUGUAAUAUCAACACCAUUGAUUUAGUAGUAGUAACAUUGACAUAGCUUAACAUUUUAACAAACUCAUAACAUUCAUUUCAUAACCAUCCUUGAAUUUGCUACCACUAACUUUUUCUUAACAUGAACAAACCAUUUCCAAUUUAUAACUAUGCAUGGACCAAAGCAAAUCGAAACUAACAAUUAAUCAUAAUUUCAGUUUUCAUAAUAAUGCAUUCAUCAACCAUUCCAAAACAUGACAAGUGCACCAAAACUAGGAACCAAAAGACUUCAAAAUCGCAAAUAAAGUUUCUAUGUGAUUACCUUACCACUAAGCUUGGGGAUUUUUUUGCCUUCUACUAUUGCUGCCCCUUUCAACAUAAUGUAUAUCCGUGGACUUCAUCAUUCAACAAUGUAUGAAUCACUAGUUCCAUGACCUACUGUCAGAAUCAAACAGAGAAAGCAAUUUAGCAUGAUCAUUACCAUCAUUUUCAUAGAAUUUUAGUCAUGACAAGAAUCAUGUUAGGGUUUCUAAUUUGCUAGCAGCAUUUAACAAGAACAACAGUUAAUUCGGUAUCUCAAUGCAGAGCUAAACCAACUCACUUCAGACCCAUAACAAAGUCAAUUAAUCACCAAAAACUAACUUCUAAUUUAACUAAUUCUGAGUUACAUGUCAACCUACCUACUAACCAAUUAACCAAUACCUACUGGAGUUCCACAUAACUGACAUAUUGACCUACAAAUAAACUAAUAUUAAUCAGUUUUCUAAUUGAACUAACAAGCUCAAACACUAACCCUACAGAACCAAUGGAUGAAAUAUAACAGAAAAUUCAAAAGAUUUCCAACGACACAUUCAUGUAACAAGGCUCAUUGCAGCUCACCAUUAGUUAACCUGGGUGUAGCGAUACAUAAUCUUUUCAUCCUAACCUAAACUAACUUAUUCCAAUUGCAAAUAACAGAAAUCCUGAAUUUAUAACUAACAUUACAUUUCAUGUGAAUUUCAUCUAAAUUUCUGACAUGCUUGGGGCUCUAUAUAAGCGUACCUUCACUGUAAUUUUGGGAGGGGAUUCAUUAUUCAGAUUUCAUUUCAAACUCUUCCAAAAGCUCUGAGAGUUCUGAUUCGUUCUUCACUCUCACUUUUCAUUCAUACAAGCAAAUUGAAUCUUCAGUCUUCUUGGAUUCAUACAUUCACACGCAGAAUCCUCUUCAUACAGGCACCAGAAACACACGAAUCACGUCACAUCAAAGGGAGAUCGAAGAAGAUUCAAGAAGAAGGAAUCGAAGACGAAUGAUUACCUCGUGGAGCACCGAGAAGCCGCUGUGCUUGAACGCUGCUUCGGUACACUUUAACCUUAUUGAAUUUAUCUCCUACUUGCAUUUCGUUUUGAGUUGGUGAUGGCGUGUUUGAGUUUUGGCGGAUUCUUCACGGCGUGUUCGGAAUUUGAGAUCUGAGCUUCAAUUCAGAUUCACGUAUUCGUUGCAACCUUCAACGAUUUGGAAAACUCAGGAGUAUGUUCUUUGAUUUGGAGUUUCAUAACUUGAAUCCAGAAUGCGAAGGAGAAUGAAGAACGCGAUGCUGAAUAUUGGAACGUGAUACUGACUUUUUCAUAUGAGCGCCUUUGUUCUUCAGCUUGGUGAACUUUCCCAUUUUGUAGCUUGGAUUAGGUUUGGUCCUAAGGCUUAAACGAUUUGUUCUAUGCACACACUUGCCAUGGACCUACAACUCCCUAGAGCGACCGCGCUUGGCUGGACAUGUGGCCCAUUCUGAAUCCCUCAUGGAACCCCUUUUUUGGCAACUGUUCAGCGCUUGGGCUUUGAGCUCCAGGCCCAAACGUUUUUGCUGGCUAACACCCACAUUCCAAACGCAU
RNAcentral lists this long non-coding RNA (2265 nucleotides) under Lathyrus oleraceus (garden pea). Its description in RNAcentral is "Pisum sativum (pea) long non-coding RNA (PSAT_LNC036337)". The record is from RNAcentral. Lineage: Eukaryota; Viridiplantae; Streptophyta; Magnoliopsida; Fabales; Fabaceae.